This 253-nucleotide ribosomal RNA is filed under the name uncultured bacterium. RNAcentral describes it as "partial 16S ribosomal RNA". It matches the Rfam family "Bacterial small subunit ribosomal RNA", at positions 524 to 776 of the family's 1533-position model. The record is from RNAcentral.
GACGGAGGAUGCAAGCGUUAUCCGGAAUGAUUGGGCGUAAAGCGUCCGCAGGUGGCAGUUCAAGUCUGCUGUCAAAGACCGGGGCUUAACUUCGGAAAGGCAGUGGAAACUGAACAGCUAGAGUAUGGUAGGGGCAGAGGGAAUUCCUGGUGUAGCGGUGAAAUGCGUAGAGAUCGGGAGGAACACCAGAGGCGAAGGCGGCGACCUGGAGAGUGACUGACACUCAACUGCGAAAGCGUGGGGAGCAAACAGG